Molecule: ribosomal RNA, 429 nt
Filed under: Pseudomonadota bacterium
Lineage: Bacteria; Pseudomonadati; Pseudomonadota
Description: Proteobacteria bacterium partial 16S ribosomal RNA
Rfam family: Bacterial small subunit ribosomal RNA
Source: RNAcentral
UGGGGAAUAUUGGACAAUGGGCGAAAGCCUGAUCCAGCCAUGCCGCGUGUGUGAAGAAGGUCUUCGGAUUGUAAAGCACUUUAAGUUGGGAGGAAGGGCAGUAAGCGAAUACCUUGCUGUUUUGACGUUACCGACAGAAUAAGCACCGGCUAACUCUGUGCCAGCAGCCGCAGUAAUACAGAGGGUGCAAGCGUUAAUCGGAAUUACUGGGCGUAAAGCGCGCGUAGGUGGUUCGUUAAGUUGAAUGUGAAAGCCCCGGGCUCAACCUGGGAACUGCACCCAAAACUGGCGAGCUAGAGUAGGGCAGAGGGUGGUGGAAUUUCCUGGGUAGCGGUGAAAUGCGUAGAUAUAGGAAGGAACACCAGUGGCGAAGGCGACCACCUGGGCUCAUACUGACACUGAGGUGCGAAAGCGUGGGGAGCAAACAGG